Engraulis encrasicolus (European anchovy) is the source of this 415-nucleotide long non-coding RNA. RefSeq lists it as uncharacterized. The transcript has 3 exons. Lineage: Eukaryota; Metazoa; Chordata; Actinopteri; Clupeiformes; Engraulidae. The record is from RefSeq and is a predicted model, not a curated record.
CAACGAAGGCUACACACGGACCCCGGACAUCAGGAACAGCCAACUUCCAACACAGUCUGACUCUACUUCUCACAAGUCUGGAACAUUCCUCUACACAGACUAGGCCAUCACUGUCUGGGAUGUACCUAGCGAGACCUCCUUCUUGCAAGCAAACAGUUGAUCCCAGUGCCACAACAUCAACACAGGAUUUGAUGGUCCACAACACAUCAACAUGGAUUGAUACACACGAAGCUGAAGAAGAUGUAGCUGCCUCAGAGAUGAGUGUGAGCUUUCAGGAGAUGUCACUGGAGGACAAUCCCUCAGACGUCAGCUACUUACCUCCCAGUGGAUCAUCUCAAUCAAGUCCUGAUAGUGAUUCUGGUUCAGCUUCUGCCAAUGGAGAUGGGUGGGCCGAAAGGAAGUGGCUGGUAUCUGA